Long non-coding RNA from Ctenopharyngodon idella (grass carp), 101 nucleotides. RefSeq lists it as uncharacterized. Lineage: Eukaryota; Metazoa; Chordata; Actinopteri; Cypriniformes; Xenocyprididae. The transcript is spliced from 2 exons. The record is from RefSeq and is a predicted model, not a curated record.
AUUUCCUACACACAUUCUGAGUGUGCUCAGGGAUGACAUAUCGAGUUCAACUCAACUCUUAAAGGCUUUUUAGCAGAUGCCUGAAGAUUCUGUUCCAAAAU